RNAcentral lists this ribosomal RNA (488 nucleotides) under uncultured bacterium. RNAcentral describes it as "bacterial SSU rRNA". It matches the Rfam family "Bacterial small subunit ribosomal RNA", at positions 8 to 524 of the family's 1533-position model. The record is from RNAcentral.
AGAGUUUGAUCCUGGCUCAGGAUGAAUGCUGGCGGCGUGCCUAACACAUGCAAGUCGAGCGGUAACAGGAGUAGUUUACUACUUGCUGACGAGCGGCGGACGGCUGAGUAACGCGUGGGAACGUGCCCCAAAGUGAGGAAUAACUGCCCGAAAGGGUAGCUAAUGCCGCAUAUGAUCUUCGGAUUAAAGGAUUUAUCCGCUUUGGGAGCGGCCUGCGUUAGAUUAGGUAGUUGGUGAGGUAAUGGCUCACCAAGCCUACGAUCUAUAGCUGGUCUGAGAGGAUGAUCAGCCAGACUGGAACUGAGACACGGUCCAGACUCCUACGGGAGGCAGCAGUGAGGAAUCUUCCACAAUGGGCGAAAGCCUGAUGGAGCAACGCCGCGUGCAGGAUGAAGGCCCUAGGGUCGUAAACUGCUUUUAUAAGUGAAGAAUAUGACGGUAACUUAUGAAUAAGCACCGGCUAACUACGUGCCAGCAGCCGCGGUAAU